Molecule: ribosomal RNA, 251 nt
Filed under: uncultured bacterium
Lineage: Bacteria
Description: partial 16S ribosomal RNA
Rfam family: Bacterial small subunit ribosomal RNA
Source: RNAcentral
UACGUAGGGUGCAAGCGUUAAUCGGAAUACUGGGCGUAAAGCGUGCGCAGGCGGUUAUGUAAGACAGGUGUGAAAUCCCCGGGCUUAACCUGGGAACUGCAUUUGUGACUGCAUAGCUAGAGUACGGUAGAGGGGAUGGAAUUCCGCGUGUAGCAGUGAAAUGCGUAGAUAUGCGGAGGAACACCGAUGGCGAAGGCAAUCCCCUGGACCUGUACUGACGCUCAUGCACGAAAGCGUGGGGAGCAAACAGG